Molecule: long non-coding RNA, 2402 nt
Organism: Labrus mixtus (cuckoo wrasse)
Lineage: Eukaryota; Metazoa; Chordata; Actinopteri; Labriformes; Labridae
Exons: 4
Source: RefSeq, a predicted model, not a curated record
UAUAAACCAUAGACUGUAAAAAUAAUGGACGGGACAAGGUCCCCGGUCUAGUGAAGCUUUUAUUUGUAGAGCUCCCCCUGCUGACUGGCUGCAGUAUAGGUCAUAAACUCCGCCUCCUCAAUGAUAACAGAUGGGAUGUGGGUCAAACUGUAAAGCUAAAAUACUCGUCACAUCAUUUUUUUCCAAACCUAAACUCUGCUGUGAUCAUUAGUUAUUAUCACCCUACAUUGUGUUCAAGUGCUCAUUUUUCUGUGAAGUUUGUUUUAAAUAAGUUAUUUGAGAUUGAAAAACAGGAUUUUAUGUCAUAUUUGACGAUGAUUGACAGCCGCGGAUCUUGCGUAGCUCUCUUUGGGAAUAGCAAAAGUUACGUAGUGAAGGAAAGCCGAGACGCCAUUGCAUUUUUCCGUUCAGUUUUUUCGUCUUUUUUGAGCUGGCAAAAUGAGUUGUUCUGCAGUAAACUGUUCUAACCGACCUGUUGGAGCUAAGGGAUCUUUGCAGUGUUUUCGGUAAGUAAAAAAGUGUGAUUUAUGUGUCAUUGGUUGGUUAAAGUCGUUAUCUAGCUAGCUAACACAUAAGCAGUCUAAGGUUAGCUGAAAUGUUGUAAAGCUAGGUUACUUAUCCGGCAUGAUUUAUCUUUUUAUUUUAUUUUUUAAAAUGAGCAAACCUAAUAACUGACAUGCUAUGUUUCUUGAUAUUGUUAUAUCAUUAUUGUGAUUUAAAUUGUAUUUAAAACCAAGAAUCGUAAUAUAAAAUCUGCUCAUAGAUGCGGUUCAUUGACUGUACAGUUAUUUUACAGCAAAAAUAAAUACGUCUGGUAAAGUCUCAAAAAAGUAUCUAGGGCAAAAACAAAGUCAAAUAAUUGUAAUCUGUCCUGCAUCAUUACUAAUGUGUACAUGUUUACAGUCUGAGUGAUAAGUGGACUAUACCGAGAGUAACAGGUUUUACUUUCACCGUGCGGGCUGAAAUUCAUAGUACUAUAUACGAGGGUAGAAUAUUUCUCUAUGUAUCCAGAUAAAACUAAAGGUAGGAUCUGAUUUAAUAUAAUUGUUACUGAUUUAAGAGACUAACCGAAACGUGAACACAAACAUCAACAACCUGCGGUGGUGUAAUGUAAUAUUAACCGAGCAUCAUGCUGCUUAAACUGAUAAAUAUUCUGCAUUGUCUUCCACACAUCAAUUCAACAGUCACAAGUUGAUCAUAUUGUAAAUUUAAUGACGCUCAUUGAGAAUUUGUACUAAAAAUUGACAAAACCUGACAAAACCUGCGGUGACUGUGUCUGUAUUUAACACAUUUGAAAGGAAGGUGUUAAUGCAGGAGACCAGUGUUACACACAAAAUGCUGCUGUUAUUGAAGUUAGGAGGAGACAUAGGUACAAUAAAAGAAGACAUAAAGAUCGCGUUUUUCCCCACACAUGUUAAUAUGUUUUAAAUGUCAUGCAUUUCUUUUUUAUUUCGCUUCAAUAAUCGUUAACAAAGAGAAACACCAUGAUUAAACUACAGGCUAUUGUUGCCUUUUUAUAUCCAAAGAAAACUGAACAUCCACAGCCUGCAUUCAAAAUAAUUUCAACAUUGACAUUUAUGUCUUCCUAUUUCCCUCUUUUCACCAACAUUAUAUUUUAAACUGAGGAUUUCCUUUUUCUCAGGUUGUGCGUCUCUCCUCCCUCCUCUCCAUAAUGCGCUCGUCUCCUCCCUCUACAGCCUGCUGCUGCUACUCUGUAGGACGCUUUGAUUGGGGGACCUCACCAAUAAAAUACUAUUUUAUAUUUUAUAAGCAGUUUGCCACCACACUGUACUUUUACUCUCCAAAGGCAUAUGAGUAUGUGCGUGACAACUUUAACAAAUCUUUACCACACAGUCACACCAUCCACACAGCUGAUCCAGGAUUUACUGUAGCAUCUUUUAUAGCACUAAGAGGUCAUGUACAGGCAAACAGAGAGAAGGGAAAAGAAACAAUCUGUGCUCUCAAAUAACAAAGCAGUCUCAAAUCUUUUUGAGGAAUUACAGCUAAAAAAAAUUCUACUUUGCAUACAGUACAUCCUCUGAUAAAUAAAGUGAAGUACUUUGAUUGUAUUUCUGUGAUGUUCCUGUAGGUGACCAUGAUGCAGCCAUACUGAAGCAGCAGGUUGUGAAGGUGGACGCCAUCAUCUUGUCUUUGCGGUGCUGAUUCUGAAGAGAACGUCUUCACAUAGGACUCAAAGGAAAUCAAUGCUCAAAGGAAACAGCAGUCCAGACUCUGAUUCCAGCUCCGAAGAUGCCCUCAGAUUCAGAUCCAUCAACAACCCCUGACAACAUGGAGGACUCGUCCCCUGAGCGUUUCCUGUCCUCUCUCCAUGGAGUUCUUCUCUUCAGUUAUUAACUCUUGAAAACAGAAGCACAACAUGCCAGACUGUUUGACAAGUCUGU